GGUUGGAUCAUUAAAAAUACAAUUUGGCUGACGGCGUAUCCGUGAAAAGAUUGCGUCGUCGCUCGCCAAUCCACACCCUUGUGAACCAUUGAAAUGUCUCUUGGCGAUAAGCGCUUAAAUCCGCAGAACUUCAUUAUGGGCCCGAAAAUCAGCUUGACCGGGUCUCGAUAACUUGCGGUUGGUUUCUGCUUCGUAAGAAGCGAUCCAGGGUGCUGUCGUCAGUCAAGCGAAGAACCACACUUUUAUUGAUUACAUUUAUGCUGAGAUAUUUGAUGACUAAAUAAGAAACAACUUUAGACAACGGAUCUCUUGGCUCUCGCAACGAUGAAGAACGCAGCGAAAUGCGAUACGUAGUGUGAAUUGCAGAAUCCAGUGAAUCAUCGAAUCUUUGAACGCAUAUUGCGCCUUCUGGUAUUCCGGGAGGCAUGUCUGUUUGAGAACCUCGACGUACAUCACACCCCCAAUCUCGUUUGUUUUUUCUAAAGCACGACGGUUUGGUUCUCGUGUGGAUCUGGGCUCUAACACUUGCAAUGUGUGGCCUGAAAAACAAUGUCGUGAGGCUCUUCCUACACUGCGCAAGCAGUACAAGUGCUCGCUCUCAUUUGACGUGAUAAUACUGGCGAAAGCCGUUCAAGCGUUUUCUGAAGAGCUUCAUUUGAAGGAAUUGAUGCAACACGAUUCUUGACCUUGACAUGCCAGGCGGUUGUCGAAUGACGACCGAAGACCUGAACACUUGGUCUCAAAUCAGACAAGAAUACCCGCUGAACUUAAGCAUAUCAGUAAGCGGAGGAAAAGAAACUAACAAGGAUUCCCUUAGUAACGGCGAGUGAAGCGGGAACAGCUCAAUUUUUAAAUCUCCCGCAAGGGCGAAUUGUGGUUUAGAGAAGCGUUUUCUAGGGUGGGCUCGGUCCAAGUCCUCUGGAACGAGGCAUCAGAGAGGGUGAGAAUCCCGUAUCUGGUCGCAGCCUUUCAUCCGUUAUGAUACGUCUUCGAAGAGUCGGAUAGCUUGGGAAUGCUGUCCAAAAUGGGUGGUAAAUACCAUCUAAAGCUAAAUAUUGGCGAGAGACCGAUAGCGAACAAGUACCGUGAGGGAAAGAUGAAAAGAACUUUGAAAAGAGAGUUAAACAGUACGUGAAAUUGUCUAAAGGGAAACGCUUGAAACCAGUAUUGCGCGUCGGGGAUCAGCCGUUCACAUCGAGCGGUGCACUCCCUGUGCGUGCGGGUCAGCAUCGGUUUGACUUGGAGUAGAAAGCCUGAGGAAGGUGUUCGCAUCGGCCUGCUGGUCAUGCUCCGGGUUGGACCGAGGAACGCAGCCAUGUCAUUGGGGAACCGGUCGCCUCCUCACCCGCGAGAUCAGACAACUUGUUGAUUGAUCUUGUUUGGGAGUUGCGCACGGCCGGGUACCACAUCAUGUGCUUAGGAUGCUGGCGAAAUGGUUUUAAACGACCCGUCUUGAAACACGGACCAAGGAGUCCAACACAUAUGCGAGUCUUUGGGUGGCAAACCCAUGGGCGCAAUGAAAGUGAAAGGAUACUAACCCGCAAGGGCUCCGUAUCGACCGGUCUGGAUUUUUUUGAUGGAUCUGAGUAAGAGCAUAUGUGCUGGGACCCGAAAGAUGGUGAACUAUGCCUGGAUAGGGUGAAGCCAGAGGAAACUCUGGUGGAGGCUCGCAGCGGUUCUGACGUGCAAAUCGAUCGUCAAAUCUGGGUAUAGGGGCGAAAGACUAAUCGAACCAUCUAGUAGCUGGUUCCCUC
This 1754-nucleotide unclassified non-coding RNA is filed under the name uncultured fungus. RNAcentral's name for it is "sequence contains 18S rRNA gene, ITS1, 5.8S rRNA gene, ITS2, 28S rRNA gene". The stretch from base 735 to 1754 matches the Rfam family "Eukaryotic large subunit ribosomal RNA", at positions 1 to 961 of the family's 3401-position model. Lineage: Eukaryota; Fungi. The record is from RNAcentral.